GACGAACGCUGGCGGCGUGCUUAACACAUGCAAGUCGAACGGUGAAGGGACCAGCUUGCUGGUUCUGGAUGAGUGGCGAACGGGUGAGUAACACGUGAGUAACCUGCCCCCUUCUUCUGGAUAACCGCAUGAAAGUGUGGCUAAUACGGGAUAUUCUGGGUCUGUCGCAUGGCGGGCCCGGGAAAGAUAUUGCUUCGGUGGGGGAUGGGCUCGCGGCCUAUCAGCUUGUUGGUGGGGUGAUGGCCUACCAAGGCGGUGACGGGUAGCCGGCCUGAGAGGGUGGACGGUCACACUGGGACUGAGACACGGCCCAGACUCCUACGGGAGGCAGCAGUGGGGAAUAUUGCACAAUGGGCGCAAGCCUGAUGCAGCGACGCCGCGUGAGGGAUGGAGGCCUUCGGGUUGUAAACCUCUUUCGCCAGUGAAGCAGGCCUGCUCCUCGUGGGUGGGUUGACGGUAGCUGGAUAAGAAGCGCCGGCUAACUACGUG
RNAcentral lists this ribosomal RNA (489 nucleotides) under uncultured bacterium. RNAcentral describes it as "partial 16S ribosomal RNA". It matches the Rfam family "Bacterial small subunit ribosomal RNA", at positions 28 to 507 of the family's 1533-position model. The record is from RNAcentral.